This 3102-nucleotide ribosomal RNA is filed under the name Triticum aestivum (bread wheat). RNAcentral's name for it is "partial small subunit ribosomal RNA". Lineage: Eukaryota; Viridiplantae; Streptophyta; Magnoliopsida; Poales; Poaceae. The record is from RNAcentral.
AUGACAUUGCUCAGCUUCUUCUUGAUCCUCUGCUCCCACGCUCUUGCUGUGUCCCCCGCUCCGGGGAGGGGUAGCGACCAACUCGCGCUCCUCUCCUUCAAGUCCACCAUUGCGCCCCCGAGAGGGUUGCUGGCUUCAUGGAACACCUCCACCCACCACUGCAGCUGGCCAGGCGUUGCUUGCGGGCGGCGGCACCCCGAUAGGGUCGUCUCCCUACGCAUGGCCUCCUUCAACCUGUCGGGACGCAUCUCGCCAUUCUUGGGCAACCUCUCCUUUCUCAGGGAGCUUGACCUCGGCGACAACCACCUCGCCGGUCAGAUACCCCCGGAGCUCGGCCAUCUUGCCAGGCUUCGGCUCCUAAGCCUCAGGGUGAAUUCUCUCCAGGGAAGCAUUCCUGUGGCUCUUGGAGGAUGCACCAACCUCACCACGCUUGACCUAAGUAGAAACCAUCUCCAAGGUGAGAUCCCGGGCGAGAUAGGUUCCAGCUUGAAGAAUCUUGUCACUUUGAACCUUUCCAGAAAUGAUUUGUCAGGACAUAUCCCUGGCUCGCUGGUGCAAUCACCAUCCAUCCAAACCUUGUCUAUGUUUCUCAACAGAUUAUCUGGUAGGAUACCACCUGUUUUGGGCAACCUCUCCAACCUCAAAUAUCUUCAGGUCGAUCACAACGCCCUGUCCGGACCUAUCCCGCCGUCUUUGGGCAUGUUGCCCAAACUAUCUCGGCUCAGCAUCGGCUUUAACAACUUGAGUGGAGUGAUCCCCAAUUCCAUUUGGAACAUUUCCUCUCUAACACUGCUUUCUGUCCAGGAAAAUAUGCUUAGUGGAACAAUACCUCCAAACGCAUUCAGUAAUCUUCACCUUCUCCAAGACAUAUCGUUGGAUGCUAACCACUUCCAUGGCCCCAUCCCAGCUGCAAUAGCUAAUGCUUCUAAUAUCGCAUUACUUCAGAUGUCAGAGAACUUUUUCAGUGGCAUCGUUCCUCCCGAGGUUGGAAGCUUUCCGAAUCUCUUCCGGAUAAAUCUCCAACAAAAUUUGCUUCGCGCAAAAGAGCCCAAAGAUUGGGAAUUCAUAACCACGUUAACAAAUUGCACAGUGUUACAAGUUUUGGGGUUGGGAACCAAUAAGUUUGAGGGAGUCCUCCCUGAUUCACUUUCCAACCUUUCCACCUCCUUGGUGCAACUCGGCCUUCAAGAGAACAAAAUAUCAGGAAGCCUCCCUAAAGAUAUAGGUAACCUCAUUAACUUGCAAUUUAUCAUUCUCUAUACUAACUCUUUCACCCAAACUCUCCCCUCUUCCUUGAGUAGCCUCAAAUUCCUUUCCCUACUCCAAGUAUACGAAAAUAAAAUAAGUGGGUCUAUUCCACAGAAUAUAGGAAAUCUUACUGAACUAAUUUCUUUGGACCUCAGCAUGAAUGCCUUUGGUGGUAGGUUACCACGCACACUUGGAAACCUAACAAACUUGUUGACACUAGAUCUUUCAAGUAAUAACUUUACAGGACCAAUACCCAGCGGAUUAUUCAACAUCCCAACACUCUCAGAAUAUCUUUCUCUAUCAAGUAAUAACUUGGAGGGAUCGCUACCUCAUGAAAUAGGGAAUCUAAAAAAUCUAGUAGAAUUCCAUGCAGAGUCAAACAUUUUAUCAGGUGAAAUCCCGAGCACCAUCGGUGGAUGUCAACUUCUCCAGCAACUCUACCUCCAAAACAACAAAUUUGAAGGUACCAUCCCAUCAGUCCUUAGUCAAAUGAAAGGUCUACAAACUCUAGACAUUUCGAGCAACAAUUUGUCAGGCCAGAUACCUAAAUCCUUUGCAGACCUUACCACACUCUAUUAUCUCAACCUUUCAUUCAAUAGCCUUUCUGGGGAAGUGCCAAUCACUGGUGUUUUUGCAAAUUCUUCAGCAAUAUCAAUCCAAGGAAAUGGAAACCUUUGUGGCGGUGUACCUAAUUUACAUUUGGCCCCUUGUUCCUUGCAAUUAGCAAAGAAGAAACAUAAAUUCCCGGUUGCGUGUAUGCCUAUUUCUAUCAUUGCAACACUGGUUGUUCUUGCCUUCCUCUACAAGCUUCUUCUUACCUGGCAAAAUAAAAGACAAGCAACAAUCCUGUCGACAACGUCCAUGCAAGGUUACCAACUGAUUUCUUAUAGUCAGUUGGCGAGGGCAACAUAUGGUUUCUCGGCAGGGAAUUUGCUGGGUUCUGGAUCAUUUGGGUCUGUGUACAAAGGAGAGUUGGAUGGUCAUGCUGGAGAAAAUUCAAACCUUGUUGCUGUCAAGGUAUUAAAACUUCAAACUCCAAAGGCGCCGAAGAGUUUCACUGCCGAAUGCAAAGCAUUAGGAAAUAUGCGACACCGCAAUCUUCUCAAGAUAGUUACAGUUUGCUCAAGCAUUGAUACCAGAGGGAAUGAAUUCAAAGCAAUUGUGUAUGAUUUCAUGCCUAAUGGUAGUCUAGAAGGUUGGCUACAUCUUGACACAAGUGACCAAGCAGAGCAAAAGUAUUUGAAUCUGCAUCAAAGAGUGACAAUACUACUUGAUGUGGCUUAUGCCUUGGACUAUCUUCACUGCCAUGGUCCUGCACCUGUUGUACAUUGCGAUGUGAAGCCAAGUAAUGUGCUCCUAGAUGAUAAUAUGGUAGCCCAUGUUGGAGAUUUUGGUCUUGCUAAGAUUCUUAACGAGGGAAGCUCAUUUCUCGAGCAGUCCAUGAGCUCAAUGGGAUUUCGAGGGACAAUUGGUUAUGCUGCCCCAGAGUAUGGUGUUGGAAACCCCGUGUCCAAGCAUGGAGAUAUUUACAGUUAUGGCAUUCUUGUGUUGGAAACAGCCACUGGAAAGAGGCCCACCGAUAGCAAAUUCAGACAAGGAUUGAGCCUUCGUGAGUAUGUUGAGCUUGGUCUAUGUGAUAGUAUGAUGGAGGUUGUGGACAUGCGGCUAUCGUUGGAUCUUGAGUAUGGGCUUCAAACUGUGAAUGCUUCUGCAUACAAGAGAACGAUUGAUUGCCUUGUUUCGCUACUUAAACUCGGAAUUUCCUGCUCUCAGGAAUUGCCGUCAAGUAGAAUGCCAACCGGAGAUAUCGUCAAGGAACUUCAUGCCAUGAAAGAAUCUCUCUCGAGGGAGUAG